UUGAAUUUUAAUAUUGUUUUUACAAAUCAUAAUGACCUGAAAUUAUGUAGGUGUGUGCACCUUAGUGAGAUGCACAUGAAUAAAAUAUAAAACAAAUAAUUUGAAUGAUAAAAAUUAUGCAAAAUACCCUAAUAAAGUUUUAAGAGUAAUUUAAUCAUUUUAUUAUAUGACAUAACUUUUUAAAUAUUUUAUUUUGGUGCGACUUGGUCAUAUGUACACACGCCUUAAAUUUUAGAUAAAUCUGAUGAGUACAAUAAUUAUAAAAAUUCAAGUACUAUCGGACAACUGUGAUCGUGUGAUGAACUUUGAAUGGUAAUGAGCUGUAGGUGAAGUAUUGUAGAACUUCACCUAUAGGCAUUUUAUAUAUAUAUAUAUAUAAGCUUGUAUAAGGUUGCAACCUUAAAAUGUAUUGAGAAAGGUUUAUAUGCUUCCCCUACAACAAGAAGUUCUAUCCUCCCCUUAGUAUC
Molecule: long non-coding RNA, 467 nt
Filed under: Amborella trichopoda
Lineage: Eukaryota; Viridiplantae; Streptophyta; Magnoliopsida; Amborellales; Amborellaceae
Description: long non-coding RNA (ATRI_LNC000487)
Source: RNAcentral